RNAcentral lists this ribosomal RNA (249 nucleotides) under uncultured bacterium. RNAcentral's name for it is "partial 16S ribosomal RNA". It matches the Rfam family "Bacterial small subunit ribosomal RNA", at positions 524 to 772 of the family's 1533-position model. The record is from RNAcentral.
UACGUAGGGUGCAAGCGUUGUCCGGAAUUAUUGGGCGUAAAGAGCUCGUAGGCGGUCUGUCGCGUCGGCUGUGAAAACCCGGGGCUCAACCCCGGGCCUGCAGUCGAUACGGGCAGACUAGAGUGCGGUAGGGGAGACUGGAAUUCCUGGUGUAGCGGUGAAAUGCGCAGAUAUCAGGAGGAACACCUGCGGCGAAGGCGGGUUGCUGGGCUAGAACUGACGCUCAUGCACGAAAGCGUGGGGAGCGAA